RNAcentral lists this ribosomal RNA (1522 nucleotides) under Escherichia coli. RNAcentral describes it as "bacterial SSU rRNA". It matches the Rfam family "Bacterial small subunit ribosomal RNA". Lineage: Bacteria; Pseudomonadati; Pseudomonadota; Gammaproteobacteria; Enterobacterales; Enterobacteriaceae. The record is from RNAcentral.
UGGCUCAGAUUGAACGCUGGCGGCAGGCCUAACACAUGCAAGUCGAACGGUAACAGGAAACAGCUUGCUGUUUCGCUGACGAGUGGCGGACGGGUGAGUAAUGUCUGGGAAACUGCCUGAUGGAGGGGGAUAACUACUGGAAACGGUAGCUAAUACCGCAUAAUGUCGCAAGACCAAAGAGGGGGACCUUCGGGCCUCUUGCCAUCGGAUGUGCCCAGAUGGGAUUAGCUAGUAGGUGGGGUAACGGCUCACCUAGGCGACGAUCCCUAGCUGGUCUGAGAGGAUGACCAGCCACACUGGAACUGAGACACGGUCCAGACUCCUACGGGAGGCAGCAGUGGGGAAUAUUGCACAAUGGGCGCAAGCCUGAUGCAGCCAUGCCGCGUGUAUGAAGAAGGCCUUCGGGUUGUAAAGUACUUUCAGCGGGGAGGAAGGGAGUAAAGUUAAUACCUUUGCUCAUUGACGUUACCCGCAGAAGAAGCACCGGCUAACUCCGUGCCAGCAGCCGCGGUAAUACGGAGGGUGCAAGCGUUAAUCGGAAUUACUGGGCGUAAAGCGCACGCAGGCGGUUUGUUAAGUCAGAUGUGAAAUCCCCGGGCUCAACCUGGGAACUGCAUCUGAUACUGGCAAGCUUGAGUCUCGUAGAGGGGGGUAGAAUUCCAGGUGUAGCGGUGAAAUGCGUAGAGAUCUGGAGGAAUACCGGUGGCGAAGGCGGCCCCCUGGACGAAGACUGACGCUCAGGUGCGAAAGCGUGGGGAGCAAACAGGAUUAGAUACCCUGGUAGUCCACGCCGUAAACGAUGUCGACUUGGAGGUUGUGCCCUUGAGGCGUGGCUUCCGGAGCUAACGCGUUAAGUCGACCGCCUGGGGAGUACGGCCGCAAGGUUAAAACUCAAAUGAAUUGACGGGGGCCCGCACAAGCGGUGGAGCAUGUGGUUUAAUUCGAUGCAACGCGAAGAACCUUACCUGGUCUUGACAUCCACAGAACUUUCCAGAGAUGGAUUGGUGCCUUCGGGAACUGUGAGACAGGUGCUGCAUGGCUGUCGUCAGCUCGUGUUGUGAAAUGUUGGGUUAAGUCCCGCAACGAGCGCAACCCUUAUCCUUUGUUGCCAGCGGUCCGGCCGGGAACUCAAAGGAGACUGCCAGUGAUAAACUGGAGGAAGGUGGGGAUGACGUCAAGUCAUCAUGGCCCUUACGACCAGGGCUACACACGUGCUACAAUGGCGCAUACAAAGAGAAGCGACCUCGCGAGAGCAAGCGGACCUCAUAAAGUGCGUCGUAGUCCGGAUUGGAGUCUGCAACUCGACUCCAUGAAGUCGGAAUCGCUAGUAAUCGUGGAUCAGAAUGCCACGGUGAAUACGUUCCCGGGCCUUGUACACACCGCCCGUCACACCAUGGGAGUGGGUUGCAAAAGAAGUAGGUAGCUUAACCUUCGGGAGGGCGCUUACCACUUUGUGAUUCAUGACUGGGGUGAAGUCGUAACAAGGUAACCGUAGGGGAACCUGCGGUUGGAUCACCUCCUU